AUUCUUAACUUACCUUUGCCUUUUUUUGUGUGGUCUAGUGAGACUCAAUUUUUUGUUACUCCCCGUUUAUUUAUAAUUUACUUUACUGAAAAGAAAAUUGCAUUAUAACUUAAUCUUUAUUAAUAGGGUUGCAGCUACAGAAAUAUGGAAAAAACAAAUUUUCAAAAUUGCAAGGCUCAGGUUAAAAGAAAUCUUAUCAAGUCCUUACUUCGUUUUGGAUAACUUUGAGUUAAAUUUUUUUUAAUAAUUGUAUUGGGUUGGAUUGAGAUUUGUUGGUCUUGUUCUAUUUCGAUGUUAUUUAAUGACUGCUGGGGAGUUUGUGACUUGUUGUAUGUUUAUAUAGAAAAUAUGGUGGUCUUCUAGAGUAAUACUAUUUAGUAUAGCUUCUAAAGUGUAUCCAGGUGACCAGUUUAGCCUUCAUGAACAUGUAAAGUUUAGAAAUUUGUGGAAGGUCUUGUUUUAUUCUGACACUUAAUGUUAUGUUUCAGUUAAUUCAUUAUUGCUAGUAUUAUGCCA
Long non-coding RNA from Dioscorea cayenensis subsp. rotundata (Guinea yam), 516 nucleotides. RefSeq lists it as uncharacterized. NCBI's taxonomy places the organism in Eukaryota, Viridiplantae, Streptophyta, Magnoliopsida, Dioscoreales, Dioscoreaceae. The transcript has 2 exons. The record is from RefSeq and is a predicted model, not a curated record.